CCCCUCUCCCGCCUCGUCGCCGGGCUCGGCAACAACCCGCAUACGACCCUGACUUCGAGGCGGCCUACGUGGCCGCUCAUCAAGAAUAUCAGGUGGCCUUCAACCAGCACCAGCAGCAGUUCAUGGAGUACAUGGCAUAUAUACAUGCGUCGUUUGUGGCCAAUCAAACUGGACAGACAGCGGAUUUAGGGCCGAUGCCUCCCUUUCCGGGGCCGGCGCCAAACAUGCCAUCGAAGGAAAAUUUCGCUGCGGAGUACUAUGGGAGAACAACGGUAAGUUCUUCGCCAAACCGAAU
Molecule: non-coding RNA, 295 nt
Organism: Lolium perenne
Lineage: Eukaryota; Viridiplantae; Streptophyta; Magnoliopsida; Poales; Poaceae
Source: RefSeq, a predicted model, not a curated record